CGCACACAUAGAUCUGGGACUCAGGCUAGCUGUCGCGUUGGCCAAUAGAAGCACAUUCUCUUGCGGUUCCAUUGGUAAUGGAGGUGUUGGUAUGUUCUCCUGCGGUUCAGUUACUGAUAGGUCUGUGGACUGAUUCUAACUCUGGUGCGCUCCAGUCGUCGGUCAGUCGGUCAGUGUGAGGGCCUGGCUGGUGGGUUGGGACUGUUAGUGCUCUGUCACUCCUCAGGGGGGUGCUAUACUACAGCAUGCAGAGGAGCGUUCCCCUGCAUCUUUAGCAGCUUGCACCCCACUAGCCACGGAGAGGACAGUUACAUAUGACUUGUUAGAAGACGUGGAAGGAGAGAGAACACUACUAUGUAGUGCUGCACCCCCCUACUGUAGCUCUUCACUAUGGAUGUCACUCCCCAGGGAUCCAACUAACCCUCACAACCAGACCACUGCUGCUCCCUGGAUAGGAUACUCACUACUGGGAAAGCCAAUCAGAUCCUCCUCCCCUGUUCGAUUUCAUGACUCUGUUUCCUUCACUGGUCCAAGCCUGUUCACUAUAACCAGCUACUACAGUACAGUCAGACCUGGGAGGUUUCUGGGUUGGACUGAUACUAGGUUCAGAUUCCAGUUCAGGGUUCAUUUAGUGAAGUGUUUAUUUGUUGUCCUUUGAUUUCCUUUCCUGGCGACACUACUAUGCUCUGUCUGUACAUUUCAGAUAUCCCAACUUCUGUCUGUAAAUAAUGUUUGUCCUGUGUAGAUCUACUUGUUUAUGAUGCAUCUUGUGUUUCUAAAAAAUGAUUAUGUACUAAAAAGGACAAAAAGAAAAUGUACUUCCUUUUAGGAUUAUUGUGAAAAUUGAGGAUGUGACUGAUAUUUUAUUGGUCUUGUAUUAUUAGAAGUCAUAGAUAUUUUCUAUCAUUAUUAUUCAUUCCUAUACUUGUUUAAAAGUAGUUUAAAAAUCAUUGUACAUAAAAAAAACUGUUCCACAAUGUUUCUUUCUACAGACAAAAGUUGUAAAAUAAGUCACUUCUAAUAAAAACUGUAGGGAACUACAUUUCUGUG
Molecule: long non-coding RNA, 1050 nt
Organism: Oncorhynchus tshawytscha (Chinook salmon)
Lineage: Eukaryota; Metazoa; Chordata; Actinopteri; Salmoniformes; Salmonidae
Source: Ensembl